CACGUAGGGUGCGAGCGUUGUCCGGAAUUAUUGGGCGUAAAGAGCUCGUAGGCGGUGUGUCGCGUCGGCCGUGAAAACCUGCAGCUUAACUGUGGGCUUGCGGUCGAUACGGGCAUCACUGGAGUUCGGCAGGGGAGACUGGAAUUCCAGGUGUAGCGGUGAAGUGCGUAGAUAUCUGGAGGAAUACCGGUGGCGAAGGCGGCAUCCUGGACCAUUACUGACGCUGAGGCGCGAAAGCUAGGGGAGCAAACGGG
Molecule: ribosomal RNA, 254 nt
Filed under: uncultured bacterium
Lineage: Bacteria
Description: partial 16S ribosomal RNA
Rfam family: Bacterial small subunit ribosomal RNA
Source: RNAcentral